Molecule: ribosomal RNA, 253 nt
Filed under: uncultured bacterium
Lineage: Bacteria
Description: partial 16S ribosomal RNA
Rfam family: Bacterial small subunit ribosomal RNA
Source: RNAcentral
UACAGAGGUCUCAAGCGUUGUUCGGAAUCACUGGGCGUAAAGGGUGCGUAGGCCGCACGGUAAGUCAGAGGUGAAAUCCCGGAGCUCAACUUCGGAAUUGCCUCCGAUACUGCCGUGCUUGAGGACUGGAGAGGAGAUUGGAAUUCACAGUGGAGCAGUGAAAUGCGUAGAUAUUGUGAGGAACACUAGUGGCGAAGGCGAAUCUCUGGACAGUUCCUGACGCUGAGGCACGAAGGCCAGGGGAGCAAAUGGG